This 4913-nucleotide long non-coding RNA is filed under the name Sus scrofa (pig). RNAcentral describes it as "lncRNA (ENSSSCG00000057734.1)". The record is from RNAcentral. Lineage: Eukaryota; Metazoa; Chordata; Mammalia; Artiodactyla; Suidae.
UAAGAUGAAAUUACAGUGUAAUCUGACUAGGGAGGUGCUGUUUCUACAGGAAGAGAGUGAUUACACACCUAAAGAGCCUAAAUGUCUAACUAACAUAAACCAGCAGACUAUGUGGAUUCUGAGGAUAUUAUGCCCUGUGGAGGGUGAAACAUUAGUUAAAGAAAAGCUUAUCUACAAAUAUUUAUGGAUAUAGGAGCAUCGCCUCAUGAUACAAAACUUAACACCUUGGGUUGGUAAGGAUCCUGGGAGAGAUAGUCAUAGGUCCAGGAAGUUCCGCACGCUCUUAGAAACUUGGAGAAAAGACAAAUGAAGUAGGGAUGCCAGAAAUACCACAGAAGAUGGUUGAAAAGCUGAUCAAAUGGCACAGAGCCAUGGGCAUGUUAGCAUGUAUAGAGUAUAUAAAGCCAGGAGCCUGUGAAGGAGGGACUGGAGGACAUCCCAUUUACCAAAGCUAUGAAGAAUAUCUCAGUUAAAGAGGAACCAGCAUUACUGAGAAGCAGAGUAAUGAUGGGGAAUUCUAUUCACCAAUCUCGGCUUUCUGGUAGUAUAGGGGGCAAUUAUCUCAUGUACAUCCAUGGUUACUGAGGGGGUAGGGAGUGGUAUCUUACGACCAGCUCACCAAGGAGGAAAAAGGACACAUUUUCCCACUGAUAUCUUGGUAUGCAAGUAUAAGCCAAAAGUAGACUAUUGGUGUACUAUAGCUCCAGCCAGAGGUGGCCAUGAAAGAUAGCAAUGAGUGUCCUUAUAAGAAGAGCUGCUGGUGACAUACUUGGUGAUUCACUUUGUGAAGGCCUAUUGCCUCAUGAUAGGAAUAUGUAUGGAAUCUUUGAGCAAUGUAAAGUGGCUAUAUUAGUUGUCCAGAUGCCUGGAAGAAGAGUUGGAAGAUAGAAACAAAGUGUUCCUAGUAGAUCCCAGGAAAAAUACCAACAAGAGUAGUUGGAGGAACUGGAGGAACUAUUCUCAUAUGGGGUGAACUCAGGAUAUAAAGAAAGUAUUCAAACAGGCAAACAAGUGGACUGUAGUGCACGCUGAGCUCCAACCACCCAGCUCUCCCUUAAGGACUAUGAUGCUGUUUUCCCCAAUCUUCCUGAAUUGUUGGUGGCUGAUGGCUAGUAGUUGCGAAUUUCUGUUUGCUGCAGGGUGAUGCUUUGCCCAAAUAUAGGACCAGCCGAAGCCUCUGUUGCAACUGCAUUCCAGUUUAACAUGGCCCUCUAUUCAGUCUGCUUUCCUCCACCCUUUUAUAAAUAGCAUUUUCAAGAGUACAUCCUAAUAUAAUCCUCUAGUACAUAAAUCUCACAGAUUAUAACUUAAUAUGUGUGAUAGACAGGAUAAUGACGCUACUACAAAAUAUUCUACAUCCUAAUCCCCAGAACCGACGAAAAUGUUAUAUGGCAAAAGAGACUUUGCUGAUGUGAUGAAGUUAAUAAUCUUGAAACGGGAAGAUUAUCCUGGAUUAAUCUGGGUGAACUGAAUGUAAUCACAAAGACCCUUAGAAGAGGGAAGUGGGAAGGCUGAAGGCAAAAGGAGUUGGGACAAUGGACAUAGAGGUCAAGGCGAUGUGCUUCCCAGAUGGGGAAAGGGCCAUAGCCAAGGGACACAAGGAUACAGAUGAGUAAACAGAUUCUCCCCUGAAAUUCCAGAAAGAAAACAGCCCUCCUCAAAUUUGAUUUUAGACUUCUGACCUCCAGAUAUUUAAUACAUUUGUGCUAUACUAAGCAACUAAAUUCAUAGCAAUUUAUUAGUAUAGCAAUAGGGAAUGAAUACAACACAGUAACACUUUAGCCUUUGUUUGCAAUUCAUUCACCAUGUCUAUAUUGGUUAAUUACAAUUAUAGCAAUUGUAUUUUCAAAUUAGAACACAUGAAAAUAUAAAUUAAGUGUAUUUUUCACGAGUGUAUGAGAUUCUUGAAAGAAAAAUCAAACCGCAGAAUAUAUAGGACAUUUUUCCAUUGCUUAUUACAUUCUAUGAUACUUUUUCAAAUGACUUUUAAGUGUUUCGCAUUAUGUCGUAGGCUUAAUUUUGUGAAAUUUAUUGUAUCUUCUAAUUAGGAUGAUUUGGAAAAACUGAGGUGAGAACACUCAAAACAGUUUUACAUUAGGAAAAUUUUUGCCUAAGGGAAAGACAGACUUUUCAUUCCAAUCCAGAGUCAUUUCUGUGGCCUUACCAUUGUGAGAUAGUCUCAUUUCUAUACAGAAAAAUAGCAUUGAUUAAAAAAUAAUUGCACCUGGAAGUUUGGAGUAUUUACUCUGGCCCCCAAAUCAUAUUAAUUUGCAUGUAUUACUUAAUCUAAACCUGGAAUAGCAGGUGGGGAUGAAUUUCUGGGAUUGAUUUAAGAAUACAUGAAUAUGGGAAUUCCAGGUGUGGCUCAGUGAAUUAAGGACCUGAUGUCUCUGUGAGGAUGAGGGUUUGAUGGCUGGCCUCGCUCAGUAAGUUUAGGAUCUGGUGUGGCCAUAUGCUGCAGGUGAGGCUGUAAAAGGAAAAAAAAAAAAGAAUAAAUGAAUAUAUAUCAAGCAUAAUGUUUGACACCCAAGGUGUGUUUAGUAGACAUGCUUCUUUGGAUUUCUUCUUUUUUUUUUUUCUCCAUUGCUGCGAUUUGUUGAGAUUUAUUUUGGCUUUUAAAACAUCACUGAUAAAUACAUGAUGCUCUUAAAUUUAUGUAUGUCUUUGAUUAUCCUCACUGCUCCAUUUCAUUUUAAAAAGUAAUAUUAUUUAUAUCUUCUAGGAUUUGAAACCCAUUUUACAUUGAAACAAUAUCCAGUCUCUCUAGACACUAUAUAUUCAUAAUUCAAUAAUACUUUUAUAAUUCAGAUAAAAUCCAUCUAUGUCAAGAAUUAGCAAAUCUCUACUCCUACCUCCACCUUGCUCGGGAAAACUCUCUAGGUUGUAGUCCUAUCCAUUUGUAUAUUUAAUUUUCAUGUUGAAUUCAGACAUCUAUUACACAUGCAAUGUACAUGUGACAUUUGGGGUCCUAUUAAUUUCAAUUGAAAUGGAGGAAACAUUUCCUAUCCUUAAGCCAGGACUGACUAUGCCUAGAUCAGAUGAUAACUGUGUUAUCCCUUCAACAAAUAUCUCUGGUUUUUUGUGUCUUCAAAGAUCUCUCAAUAUAAGUAUGGAGAAAAAGGCAUAUUUUGGCCCUGGGGCCAUGAGUAAAGAUAAAAGGAGGGAGAAAACAAGAUUGAUAAGCAAAGAAAAGUUACAAAGGAAAGCCAACACGAUCCACUGAAUAGCGUGCUUGAGCUUCAACUGAAGGAUAGGAGACUUACAAUUUUUUUUUCUUCCGAUCCUAUUUACUCACAUAGGAUGCUGCUGCUGCUGCCAGCUGGAAGCAGAGGUACUGAUAACCAUGGUGAUCAUAGGAACAUCAUGUGCCCUUUAUCAUGCAUCCACACUCUUUGUACUAUACUUUCUGUUCAGUGCUUCACACCAAUGAUGGCAUUUAAUUUUAUAGAGUAGGUGCUGUAUUGUGAUACCAGUUUUACAGAUUAAAGAAACUGAAGGAGUUGGAGAGACAUCAAAUAACUUGUGGAAGUCACAUAGCUAGUAAUACAUGGAACCAAGUUGCAAACCCAUUACUUAGACUUGGGGGUCGUUCCAUUAUAUCAAAAUGUCCGCUAAACCUUUUGUUUUAGUCAUCUAGAAUGCACUGCAGUCCUAAUCUUCCUGUAUUUUUAAUUAAAAGCUCUUUGUAAUAGUAACAUUAAAAACUUUUUGAGUAAAAGUGUAAAGCUCUUCCUCUCAUCCUCUGAAGGGUAUUUAUUUAUCUUUUCUUUGCUUGCAUAUGUAUUUUAUCACAGCCAAAGUCCCAGUGGAGAUGGAGGUUUGUGCAUGUCUUCCCUGCAAUCAUGAUUCCCUUCCUCUGUGACCAUCUUCUCUGUGGGAUACCAGGCCUUCUCUAGCUCGUGCUACUGUAAACUGAUGCAUCUGGCUUAGGCUUCUAGAUAUAUCAGGAUGUUGUUUUCCAAUAAAAAAAAAAAAAAGGAAGAUAAAUUCAGAAUUUGGGUGAGUUUGGUUAGUCAUUAUUUGGUGGUAUCAUGAGUUUAGGGAAAGGCAGCAAUAAAGAGUUUGAUUUUAGAAGGUUAAGUCUGAGGCACCUACGUAGCAAAGAAAUGCUAUUUGGGUUGGGGACAUUGGAAGAGGAAUAAUUCUUGGUCCUGAGCUGUGUCUUAUGCUGGAUGUUCUCUCUCACACAGAGCCUGUGGCUGUGCUUAGCUUAUGGUAAGCACUCAAAGCUUACUGUGUAUGGGUGUGGUUGACUAUAAAUGCAAUGGGCUGGACUUCCCGUUGUGGCACAGUGGAAACGAAUCCGACUGGGAACCAUGAGGUUGUGGGUUCGAUCCCUGGCCUCACUCAGUAGGUUAAGGAUCCGGCCUUGCCAGGAGCUGUGGUGUAGGCCGCAGACAUGACUCGGGUCUGGCAUUGCUGUGGCUGUGGUGUAGGCUGGCAGCUGAGCUCUGAUUAGACCCCUAGCCUGGGUAAAAAGACAAGACAAAUAAAUAAAUAAAUAAAUACAAUGGACUAGUAAACAUUUCAGUAGCUUUAAAGAUUCUUUAAAUUCGUAGUUGACUGUGAAGACUAAAUUGCUUUGUUCUGUUAGAUUUAAAUAGGGUAGGAAACACACAAAUCAUUUAAAACAAGAAAGAAAGAUUUCAUGAUAUCUGUUCUCCUGCUUAUAUAACCAUAACUCAUAUCUGUUAGGGAUUCCUAUUCGUAGAAAUAAAUCACAGUCAAGUUUUUAGACCAGCCUUGGUACAUAUUCUAAUUUUCUGCUUCCUUCUGUGAAUUGUGAUAUUAUGUGACAUGACUGGAGAGUCUAGGAUGGUUUUUGUUUUGGGUUUUGAGAGUAUUAUUGUAUUCAUAUGUGUCUGAUCUUGUACCUUGGCUUUUAUAAUAGGAAAUAUGAUAAUGACAAUCAG